AACGAACGCUGCGGCAUGCCUAACACAUGCAAGUCGAACGGGAUCCGGACUUCGGUUCGGUGAGAGUGGCGGACGGGUGAGUAACACGUGGGAACCUGCCUUUUGGUUCGGGAUAACCGCGGGAAACUGCGGCUAAUACCGGAUGCUCCCGUGAGGGAAAAGAUUUAUCGCCAGAAGAGGGGCCCGCGUCCGAUUAGGUA
RNAcentral lists this ribosomal RNA (200 nucleotides) under uncultured bacterium. RNAcentral's name for it is "partial 16S ribosomal RNA". It matches the Rfam family "Bacterial small subunit ribosomal RNA", at positions 29 to 247 of the family's 1533-position model. The record is from RNAcentral.